Molecule: long non-coding RNA, 489 nt
Organism: Hevea brasiliensis (rubber tree)
Lineage: Eukaryota; Viridiplantae; Streptophyta; Magnoliopsida; Malpighiales; Euphorbiaceae
Exons: 3
Source: RefSeq, a predicted model, not a curated record
CGAUAUAUAUAUAUUUUUUUUCACUCCCAUAAACCGAAAAAAUGAAAUUGAUUUCACCUCGGAAUAUGGCCGUCUUUAUAAUCUCAGUCCCACCAAACAAGAGCUUCUCCUACAGGACUUCUCUGUCAAGUCACAACUUCGCGUUUCCAUCUUGCAUGCACACUUUUCGUUUAAUUCCAAUCAAGUCUUAUACACUUAAUGCCAAUAAGAGAAAGCCUGAGCGAGUUCUCAAGCCGAACAUAAUUGAAGAAGUAUCAAUGGACAGUGAAGACGAAGAAGACCACCUUUUCUUGAUGACCUUGAAGAUGAGGCAUUGAUGGAUGGUCACAAUGACUAUUUGGAGGAUGAGUACGUGGAAAUGAAGCAGAACUCCAUGUUGGAGAUGGGGGUGGGGGAGCUGGAAUUGCCCUUGCUGGGACAUGGUGGGAACUGGGUUCUGGGAUAAAGAAACAUUAAGAAUAGCUGAAGCUGUUUGCCAAUCUUUUGAUG